UUUCCUCAUCUAUCACAGUUGAAGGGUUUCUGGUCCGUCAUACACCACUUCAAAUACUCAGGGCAGUGAGAGAAUUCAGCUGAAGCCUUCUACGGAUACACAGGUGCCUUCAGGUGCCUGGUGGAAGGAGGUGGUGAUGUGGCCUUCGUCAAACACACAACUGUAGGCGAAAACACAAAUGACAACAAUCAGGCGCAGUGGGCGAAGAAUCUACGAGCAUUGGACUUCAAGUUGCUGUGUAAGAAAACUGGGACAGCUGAUGUGGUCGACUACAACGCCUGCCACCUAGCACGUGUCCCGGCCCACAAGGUAUUGGCCGGUCCCCACUCUAAUGGUACCAUGCUUGAAGAGAUUCGGAUCCUAUUCUUAGGGCGUCAGAACAGCUACCAAGGGACAGGAUAUUUUCACCUUCGGCCCAUUCCAGGGUAGAAAGGAUCUUAUUUUCAAGGAUUCUGCCACCGAGUUGGUAAAUGUACGAGAGGACGAAUUCCACAAGACACUGGGGAGCUCCUACUACCGUGCUCCUUACUGAGCUCAGUGCCUGUAUUCUAAAGAGUCACAACAACACUAUACAAUGAAGGAGAGCGCCUCUACUCUUCAUGACCCAUCUGUUUCUACCUGCUCUUGUGUACAACUCUUAUCUGGCUUCUGUCGUGCUAAUUAUAUCGCUGUUGUUGUUGUUGUUGUAGUUUAAGAUAAUGUUGCGGGGGGUGAUUAAAGCCCUAGAUAUUAAGGCCACACCAUAAAUCAAUAAUCAAAACAUUGAACAAGAAAGCCUCAUCUCUUGGCAUUUACCCAUAAAAUGUUAAUAGUAAACAAACGCCUAUGGAAAACUUUAUCCUCUUUGCCACAUUGGUGUUUGUGUCUUGUCUACAUUAUCUAAUCCUUGCUGCUGGUAAAGUAGUAUAUUUGGGACCAAUUGUUUACUGUAUGUGUGUUAUAAUUCAUUACCAUCCCCAGCAAUAUUGUUUGUGUUUGUCAUUCUUAGUUAGUGAGUGCUUCGUAAUCUAUAUGCACAGUCCCUUCAAUAGUGUGUUUACAGGGGGUCAAUAUAUAAACAUUUCACAAAUCAUUACACUGAGAUAUUUGUUUU
This is a long non-coding RNA of Homarus americanus (American lobster), 1093 nucleotides long. RefSeq lists it as uncharacterized. The record is from RefSeq and is a predicted model, not a curated record. The transcript has 4 exons. NCBI's taxonomy places the organism in Eukaryota, Metazoa, Arthropoda, Malacostraca, Decapoda, Nephropidae.